RNAcentral lists this ribosomal RNA (482 nucleotides) under uncultured bacterium. Its description in RNAcentral is "partial 16S ribosomal RNA". It matches the Rfam family "Bacterial small subunit ribosomal RNA", at positions 29 to 507 of the family's 1533-position model. The record is from RNAcentral.
AUUGAACGCUGGCGGCAUGCUUUACACAUGCAAGUCGAACGGUAACAGGCCGCAAGGUGCUGUCGAGUGGCGGACGGGUGAAUAGUGCAGCGGAACGUGCGCAGUCAUGGGGGAUAAGUACUCGACAGAGUAGCUAAUACCGCAUACGAUCAAUGGAUGAGAGCGGGGGACCGGAAGGCCUCGCGCGAUUGGAGCGGCCGAUGUCGGAUUAGGUAGUUGGUGGGGUAAAGGCUCACCAAGCCAACGAUCUGUAGCUGGUCUGAGAGGACGACCGGCCACACUGGGACUGAGACACGGCCCAGACUCCUACGGGAGGCAGCAGUGGGGAAUUUUGGACAAUGGGCGCAAGCCUGAUCCAGCAAUGCCGCGUGUAGGAAGAAGGCCUUCGGGUUGUAAACUGCUUUUGUAAGGAACGAAACGGCUCUGGUUAAUACCCGGGGCUAAUGACGGUACCGUAAGAAUAAGCACCGGCUAACUACGUG